Molecule: ribosomal RNA, 567 nt
Filed under: Triticum aestivum (bread wheat)
Lineage: Eukaryota; Viridiplantae; Streptophyta; Magnoliopsida; Poales; Poaceae
Description: partial small subunit ribosomal RNA
Source: RNAcentral
AUGUAUAAGAUGAGAAAACUGUGGUGUGCUCCAUAUCUUGAGGGCCGUUGUUUCCUAGGAUUGAGCAGCAAUCAGUUGAGUGAGAGUUUAAACUCGGUGCUACAUACGCAUCUUGAGGCUAAGAUGACGUUGUUUCAAAUGCUAGAGCACUAUGAGCGUUGCCUUGCGUCGCGACGCUUGAACGAGGCUCUCCAAGACGUCGAGGCCUUACAGUCCGUUCCGUUCACAGAGGAAAAUGCUUCAGUUCUUGAGAAACAUGCCGCGAAAGUUUUCACUCCUACUGUGUUUAAGUUGGUCUUAUGGAGCAUAGAUGCUGUCAUAAAAUGUGAGAUCAGAGAGGUACUUGAUGCAGCAGAGGUUACCACAUACGUUGUGUCUAAGAAGGAAAGAAUGGAUAAAAAGAUCGAAGUGCGCACGGAGACGAAGGAAGGUAUGCUUCGCAGUAUCAGUUCUUCUUGCGCAAAUUGGAAUGCGCAGGCACACCAUGUUCCCACAUAUUUUACAUAUUGGGAAUUUUACAAGAAGAAACACUCCCCAGGUGUUGUGUUCCCACUAGGUGGACAAUGA